GUUCUUGCUACGGCAGAACAUAUACUAAAAUUGGAACGAUACAGAGAAGAUUAGCAUGGCCCCUGCGCAAGGAUNUCAACUUCUACAAGUUCGGUGAAAAUACACCGU
Molecule: small nuclear RNA, 108 nt
Filed under: Glossina pallidipes
Lineage: Eukaryota; Metazoa; Arthropoda; Insecta; Diptera; Glossinidae
Source: RNAcentral